GGGUCAGUAGGUUGGUCGUGCCACCGGUACGUACUGGUCUCACUGAUUCCUCCUUCCUGAAGAACCGUGAUGCCAUUAAUUUGGUGUUGCGGGGAAACAGGACUGUUACUUUGAAAAAAUUAGAGUGUUUAAAGCAGGCUAACGCUUGAAUACAUUAGCAUGGAAUAAUGAAAUAGGACGAUCGAUCCUAUUUUGUUGGUUUCUAGGAUUGACGUA
This 216-nucleotide ribosomal RNA is filed under the name Glomeromycotina sp. RNAcentral's name for it is "partial small subunit ribosomal RNA". The stretch from base 40 to 216 matches the Rfam family "Eukaryotic small subunit ribosomal RNA", at positions 686 to 864 of the family's 1831-position model. The record is from RNAcentral. Lineage: Eukaryota; Fungi; Glomeromycota.